CGCCGGUUUUGCUGAAACCUGAUAGUAUCUGGAGGCUUCGGCCGAAGGAAUAGUGAAUGUAAGCAGACUUCCAAGAAAACCCUCUAAGCAUAUUGAUAUGGUACCCGUACCGGAAACCGACACAGGUAGUCAAGGAGAAUAUCCUGAGGUGCUCGAGUGAUCCAUGGCUAAGGAACUAGGCAAAUUAACCCUGUAACUUCGGGAAAAGGGGUGCCUCGCUGUAGCAAUACAGCAGGUCGCAGAGAAAUGGCCCAGGCGACUGUUUAACAAAAACACAUGGCUAUGCGAAAUCGAAAGAUUAUGUAUAUGGCCUGACACCUGCCCGGUGCUGGAAGGUUAAGGGGGGAUGUUAGCCGCAAGGCGACGCAUUGAACUGGAGCCCCAGUAAACGGCGGCCGUAACUAUAACGGUCCUAAGGUAGCGAAAUUCCUUGUCGGGUAAGUUCCGACCUGCACGAUGGUGUAACGAUCUGGGCACUGUCUCAGCCAUGAGCUCGGUGAAAUUGCAGUCACGGUGAAGAUGCCGUGUACCCGUCACGGGACGGAAAGACCCCAUGCACCUUUACUAUAGCUUCGCAUUGGCAUUGGGUAGAUGAUGUGUAGGAUAGGUGGGAGGCUUUGAUCCUGUGCCGCUAGGUAUAGGGGAGCCAACGGUGAAAUACCACCCUUUAUUUAUCUGAUGUCUAAUCCGCCAAAAGUGGAGACAGUGCGUGGUGGGUAUUUUGACUGGGGUGGUCGCCUCCGAAAGUGUAUCGGAGGCUUUCAAAGGUAUGUUCAGUACGCUUGGUAACCGUACGUGGAGUGCAAUAGCAUAAACAUGCUUGACUGUGAGAUCGACGGAUCGAGCAGGAUCGAAAGAUGGAUAUAGUGAUCCGGUGGUUCUGUAUGGAAGGGCCAUCGCUCAAAGGAUAAAAGGUACGCUGGGAUAACAGGCUGAUCUCCCCCAAGAGCUCACAUCGACGGGGAGGUUUGGCACCUCGAUGUCGGCUCGUCACAUCCUGGGGCUGGAGAAGGUCCCAAGGGUUAGGCUGUUCGCCUAUUAAAGUGGCACGCGAGCUGGGUUCAGAACGUCGUGAGACAGUUCGGUCCCUAUCUGUGAUGGGCGUAGGAAGCUUGAGAGGUCCUGAUUUUAGUACGAGAGGACCGAAUUGGACCGACCGCUGGUGUACCGGUUGUGGCGUCAGCUGCAUCGCCGGGUAGCUAUGUCGGGAAGAGAUAAGCGCUGAAAGCAUCUAAGCGCGAAACUCACCUCAAGAUGAGGCUUCCAUUAAGGGACGUCAGAGAUUAUGACGUUGAUAGGCUGCAGGUGUAAAGGCAGAAAUGUCAAAGCUGAGCAGUACUAAUAACCC
This 1348-nucleotide ribosomal RNA is filed under the name metagenome. RNAcentral's name for it is "bacterial LSU rRNA". It matches the Rfam family "Bacterial large subunit ribosomal RNA", at positions 1545 to 2910 of the family's 2925-position model. The record is from RNAcentral.